AUUGAACGCUGGCGGCAGGCCUAACACAUGCAAGUCGAGCGGAUGAAGGGAGCUUGCUCCUGGAUUCCGCGGCGGACGGGUGAGUAAUGCCUAGGAAUCUGCCUGGUAGUGGGGGAUAACGUCCGGACACGGGCGCUAAUACCGCAUACGUCCUGAGGGAGAAAGUGGGGGAUCUUCGGACCUCACGCUAUCAGAUGAGCCUAGGUCGGAUUAGCUAGUUGGUGGGGUAAAGGCCUACCAAGGCGACGAUCCGUAACUGGUCUGAGAGGAUGAUCAGUCACACUGGAACUGAGACACGGUCCAGACUCCUACGGGAGGCAGCAGUGGGGAAUAUUGGACAAUGGGCGAAAGCCUGAUGCAGCCAUGCCGCGUGUGUGAAGAAGGUCUUCGGAUUGUAAAGCACUUUAAGUUGGGAGGAAGAGCAGUAAGUUAAUACCUUGCUGUUUUGACGGUACCAACAGAAUAAGCACCGGCUAACUUCGUG
RNAcentral lists this ribosomal RNA (484 nucleotides) under uncultured bacterium. RNAcentral's name for it is "partial 16S ribosomal RNA". It matches the Rfam family "Bacterial small subunit ribosomal RNA", at positions 30 to 507 of the family's 1533-position model. The record is from RNAcentral.